Long non-coding RNA from Homarus americanus (American lobster), 1963 nucleotides. RefSeq lists it as uncharacterized. NCBI's taxonomy places the organism in Eukaryota, Metazoa, Arthropoda, Malacostraca, Decapoda, Nephropidae. The transcript has 8 exons. The record is from RefSeq and is a predicted model, not a curated record.
UUCCCCCGUCAGCCUCCUGUCUACCCUACACGUCUUAGAGGCGACGUCAGAGAUCCUGGGAGGUCCUGAGAAGUACAUGACGGUGGGCAGUUCGCUGAGACUCGUGUGUGUACUGAGAGACAACACACAACCACCCACCUACGUCUUCUGGUACCACAACCACCACAUGAUCAACUACCACGCCACCAGGGAGGUCCGGGUGGAGAACAACGGAGGUCUAAGCGUGUUGUUCCUGAGUAACGUAAGACCGGCGGACUCUGGAACUACUCGUGUGCUCCCUCCAACGCUCGGCCAGCUCACAUUUACAUACACGUGUUGAAGGGAGGAGAGACACCUGCGGCAAUACACUCAGGGGCCACCAGGCUCAGGUCCACCUCCUAUUACCCUCUACCACUCCUAUUGUCUCUUCUCCUCCUGGCCUCCACUUACCUCAUCAGGCCCUCCAACGCCACGACGUCUGGACAGGACGACUCACAACCAGCUAGAGGCUCUGAUCAACCCCAACCCUCCAUGGCUGCCCUUACGAGGUGUGAUGGAGUGGGUUUUCCUCUCUAUAUGUAUGUGGCUCACCAAACCCAUUUUCCACGCCCACGGACAUCUGAGUCAAGCCCACAGCGGAAGAUGGGCGGCUAUCUCCCUCAUCACCAUGAGAGGAUGUUGAGGGUGGAGGAGAAUUGUGUGGUGGAGUCAGCUUGGAGGAGGCACAAUAACGACACCAGCUCUCGGGUGUGUUCGGGCGCCAGGGAGAGCUGAGUGGGUUAUGCUCUGUGAUGGCCGGCUUCCAGGUGACCGCAGGCAGUAGGGGCUCUGGCGGCGUCCUGCUGGGUCCAGACUAGUCGUGUUGAGUCCUCCAACACAACAACCGUACGCUACCUUGCUAGCAACACCGUCAAGCCUGCGGUACUGGAGGUGUCAACAACCUGCACCAUCACGUAAACAGGGCAGCACUUGUCUUCCUCAGUUACGUCGUGCUCGUCCCAGCAGUCGCGCCGCCGUUGGCUCGCUUUCCUUUGUUCUACCCUCUACAGUUACACAUUCUACAAGGCAUUAACUACACUCUGGGAUCAUUAAUACAGAAAUUAUGCAGUACUUAAUGACAUUUACUUGGCUAAGCUACUUGACUUACGGUUUGUUAUACAAUAAAAGUUGCUGAUUUUUCUUGAGAUAAUUACUGGCGUCGAGUCCAUAGUUGUUGAAGUAUAAUAAUACAUUAUAACAUGAACAAGACCUUAGCUGUUGAAGUGUAGUAAUUCAUUAUAACGUCAACAAGACCUUAGGUGUUGAAGUGUAGUACUGUACUGUAAUUCAUUAUAGCAUCAACAAGUAGAUUGUCGCCUUCAUCCCACUACACCAGCGGAUACCUAACUAACUAUCUCUUGGUAUUAAACAACUGUUAUUGUCUAACAAAAAACAAUAAUGUAAGCAGUUGUUACCAUAUUACUUCGACACUUGGUAGUACAGUGCCUGUAGUUCAUAAAUGAGAUAUACUUGUAGUUGAUGGACGCGGGUCACAUCUUAUUAUAACAUGAAAAAACACUCUACAAUGAAAAAAGCCCUUAGUAAAUAGAUGUUAAAAUUAUUUUUCCUUACAUGACCUUCAGAUAGAUGCCAGGUGUUGUCAAAAGUAUCCAGGUACUUUUGUGUGCCACAGUACAUGCAAACAGUGUCAGGAAGACGCUUGUGUUGACUGUUGGAAGCGAGUCGCUGCUGAACACUCAUGGGUCAUUACAUAUACAACAACAAACCCAGCUUGGCCUGACAUAAACAGAUAAGAGCAAUAAGAAUAUAUACACUAGUUCCCAGACUUUGUUACACUGUAGUAGGGUACAGUGAUCCCCCAGUUAACGAGCACAAUCCGUUCCAGCAGGUUGCUCGUUAACCGAAGAACUCGUUAACCGAAACCAUUGUCUCAAUGGGUUUUUGGGUAAUUGGUUCCAGCUCACCGAAAAUUGCCUAAAUUCAA